RNAcentral lists this small nuclear RNA (208 nucleotides) under Xenopus tropicalis (tropical clawed frog). RNAcentral describes it as "U2 spliceosomal RNA (ENSXETG00000042570.1)". It matches the Rfam family "U2 spliceosomal RNA". Rfam says of the family: U2 is a small nuclear RNA (snRNA) component of the spliceosome (involved in pre-mRNA splicing). Complementary binding between U2 snRNA (in an area lying towards the 5' end but 3' to hairpin I) and the branchpoint sequence (BPS) of the intron results the bulging out of an unpaired adenosine, on the BPS, which initiates a nucleophilic attack at the intronic 5' splice site, thus starting the first of two transesterification reactions that mediate splicing. Lineage: Eukaryota; Metazoa; Chordata; Amphibia; Anura; Pipidae. The record is from Rfam by way of RNAcentral.
UGCGCUUCUCCAGGACCUUUUGGCUAAGAUCAAUUGUUGUUGUAGUAUCUGUUCUUAUGCAGUUUAAUAUCUGAUACGUUUCCCCCAUCUGGACCAUAUAUAAAUGGAGAUAGUUUUUGAGAACAGGAGAGAUGGAAGAAGAGAGCUUGCCCUGUCCAUCCACGCAUCGAUCCUGGUUUUGCGUACCUCCAGGACCGGUGUCAAACCC